RNAcentral lists this ribosomal RNA (402 nucleotides) under bacterium. Its description in RNAcentral is "partial 16S ribosomal RNA". It matches the Rfam family "Bacterial small subunit ribosomal RNA", at positions 355 to 776 of the family's 1533-position model. The record is from RNAcentral.
UGGGGAAUUUUGCACAAUGGGGGAAACCCUGAUGCAGCGACGCCGCGUGAUUUAGAAGGCCUUCGGGUUGUAAAAAUCUUUUCUAUGGGAAGAAAAUGACAGUACCAUAGGAAUAAGGACCGGCUAAUUACGUUCCAGCAGCCGCGGUAAUACGUAAGGUCCGAGCGUUGUCCGGAAUCAUUGGGCGUAAAGGGUACGUAGGCGGGUAAGCAAGUUAGAAGCGAAAUCCUAUAGCUCAACUAUAGUAAGCUUUUAAAACUGCUCAUCUUGAGGUAUGGAAGGGAAAGUGGAAUUCCUAGUGUAGCGGUGAAAUGCGCAGAUAUUAGGAGGAAUACCGGUGGCGAAGGCGACUUUCUGGCCAUAACCUGACGCUGAGGUACGAAAGCGUGGGUAGCAAACAGG